RNAcentral lists this transfer RNA (67 nucleotides) under Enterobacter cloacae. RNAcentral's name for it is "tRNA-Gln". It matches the Rfam family "tRNA", at positions 9 to 71 of the family's 71-position model. From Rfam's summary of the family: Transfer RNA (tRNA) molecules are approximately 80 nucleotides in length. Their secondary structure includes four short double-helical elements and three loops (D, anti-codon, and T loops). RNAcentral also lists the same sequence under 13 other names. The record is from RNAcentral. Lineage: Bacteria; Pseudomonadati; Pseudomonadota; Gammaproteobacteria; Enterobacterales; Enterobacteriaceae.
CGCCAAGCGGUAAGGCACCGGAUUCUGAUUCCGGCAUUCCGAGGUUCGAAUCCUCGUACCCCAGCCA